RNAcentral lists this ribosomal RNA (254 nucleotides) under uncultured bacterium. RNAcentral's name for it is "partial 16S ribosomal RNA". It matches the Rfam family "Bacterial small subunit ribosomal RNA", at positions 524 to 776 of the family's 1533-position model. The record is from RNAcentral.
UACGGGGGGAGCAAGCGUUGUUCGGAUUUACUGGGCGUAAAGGGCGCGUAGGCGGUCAGCACAAGUCAAUUGUGAAAUCUCCGAGCUUAACUCGGAAAGGUCAACUGAAACUGUGCGACUAGAGUGCGGAAGGGGCAACUGGAAUUCUUGGUGUAGCGGUGAAAUGCGUAGAUAUCAAGAGGAACACCGGUGGCGAAGGCGGCAUCCUGGACCGGUAUUGACGCUGAGGCGCGAAAGCUAGGGGAGCAAACGGG